RNAcentral lists this ribosomal RNA (479 nucleotides) under uncultured bacterium. RNAcentral describes it as "SSU rRNA". It matches the Rfam family "Bacterial small subunit ribosomal RNA", at positions 26 to 523 of the family's 1533-position model. The record is from RNAcentral.
AGGACGAACGCUGGCGGCGUGCUUAACACAUGCAAGUCGAGCGGAAAGGCCCUUCGGGGUACUCGAGCGGCGAACGGGUGAGUAACACGUGAGUAAUCUGCCCCUAGCUCUGGGAUAGCUCCGGGAAAACCGGGAUUAAUACCAGAUACGACCACUUUAGACAUCUGCUGUGGUGGAAAGAAUUUCGGCUAGGGAUGAGCUCGCGGCCUAUCAGCUUGUUGGUGAGGUAACGGCUCACCAAGGCGACGACGGGUAGCCGGCCUGAGAGGGCGACCGGCCACACUGGGACUGAGACACGGCCCAGACUCCUACGGGAGGCAGCAGUGGGGAAUAUUGCGCAAUGGGCGAAAGCCUGACGCAGCGACGCCGCGUGGGGGAUGAAGGCCUUCGGGUUGUAAACCCCUUUCAGCAGGGACGAAGCGAAGUGACGGUACCUGCAGAAGAAGCGCCGGCUAACUACGUGCCAGCAGCCGCGGUAA